This is a long non-coding RNA of Dreissena polymorpha, 1935 nucleotides long. RefSeq lists it as uncharacterized. The record is from RefSeq and is a predicted model, not a curated record. The transcript is spliced from 3 exons. Lineage: Eukaryota; Metazoa; Mollusca; Bivalvia; Myida; Dreissenidae.
UCAUUGUAGCAAGUACGAUAUUCUUAGUGAAUUCCGUUUCAAAUAUUGACGCUACGUGUUGCUAUUAAUAACUGAUAAAGGACCGUCGAAUGCUAUUACAUAUUUGGAUAGUGGAUGAGUAUUGAGAACCAUAGCCUCUUCAGCAAUGGUGUAGACGUUGUGUCAGCGGUGAGGACGGACAGUGACCCUAUCCCCGGCAGCCAGUAGCCGAUUUUUGAAAAACUGUAUUGUGCCCCCUAAACCUCAUUCUCCUAGCAGAGUUGUCGUUCAUGCCUCAACAUACAUCUCUGCAACGGGCUCAAUGCCAGGAAUCUUGGCAAAACACAUCAAAAUGACACAGGAUGAUGUGCAGCCAGUCCUGGAUUUAAACCUUGGACCCCUUACUCUUCUGAUUGAGCUAAUCAGGGCGCCACAAAACAUUUCCCCUUUAGUGACAAUCACUAAGUUGGUGCACUGACAUUCUCCUCUGCCAAGCUGGAAUUUGUUCCUGAAUUCAAGUCACAGGGAUCAUUGUAAACCUAAUCCAUUCAAACCACGAACAGAUUUUGUUGAGAAUUGCUUGUGCAAUAGUCCCACAUUGGGCACCAAAUGUUGCUGGAUGGGAAAGUUGUACAGCCAAUCCAGAACUCAAAUCUUUUACCCCUCGCUAUCAGGGCCAAUACCUAUGAGCAUGCUGUUAGAUACAUGUGUACAAUAAAACAUGUAGUUAAUUACUUGAUCACUGUAAUAAAGCAUGGUUUCCGCUCUCUAACUGAAGAAGUUUUCAUCCGAUCUUCACCAAAUUUGGUCAGAAGUUGUAUCUAGAUAAUAUCAAGGUCAAGUUCAAAUAUGGGUCAUGCAGGGUCAAAAACUAGGUCACAAGGUCACUUAGUGCAUUUUAAGCAUUUAGCAUGGUGUCCUCUCUCUAAUUGAAGUAGUUUUUAUCCGAUCUUCACAUAAUUUGGUCAGAAAUUGUGUGUACAUGAUAUUUAGGUCAAGUUCAAAUAUGGGUCACGCCGGGUCAAAAACUAGGUCAUGAGGUCACUUAGUGCAUUUCAAGCAUUUAGCAUGGUGUCCGCUCUCUAAUUGAAGAAUUUUUCAUCCGAUCUUCACAAAAUUUGGUCAGAAGUUGUGUUUAGAUGAUGUCCAAAACCUAACAACGGGCGUAUCUUGUGACAGUUUGGCACUCUUGUUUACAGAUGAGUUACAAUAACUUUUUAUCGUGACAGUAAGUAUUGAGAAGUUUCGGUUUGUCAACACUUCAAACGGCAUAGAUCAUACCAUUUUAACUGCUAAUUUGAUAACAAUAGUUGAUGUUACGUAUAUACUACCCGAAGUGAGCCUGCCACACUCCUUACAUUGUCUUUAUUUUCGCAAAGGUGAUAUAAAACGUAAGCUGUAAGACACUCUAUGAUAGGAAAUACAAAAAGCAACGAACCCUUCUGUAAGUGUAUUGCAUGUAACCGUGUAUUUUUAACAAACGUAUUAUAUAUUAAAUAAAUAUACAUACGUCAGUGUGUGCAUUCCUUCCUAUUUGUAAUACAUGUAAUAAAUCAAAUUGCCUACGUACUUAUAUGUAUGAUAAAUUGACCUUUUUUAAGUGACGAACUGUUAUAGAUCAUAGAUGCCUGUGAGUGCCAUAACAGGCGAACCCAUGCUCCAAUAGGGCAAAAAUACUCGUAUCUUUCCAUGAGACACAACCGAGCAGCCUCUCGUCGAAUUCUAUGGACCACGUCAUAUCCGGUGGCAUAGCUGUCCUUGGCAGGUUCCUGUUGAAGCGAUAAAAAAAAUCAUACUUUGAUAAAUCUGUUUUGCAUAGUAAAUACAAAUAAGCUGAUCUGUUUAAAAUGUUACAUUAAAAUAUGGCCGGUGAAAGAAACUAGGAACACUGCUUACCGUGAACUAUCUUCCUCUAAAUUCAAAAUUAUUUAAAACUUUCCGCUCAUCGUCGAAUCC